RNAcentral lists this ribosomal RNA (304 nucleotides) under uncultured marine eukaryote. RNAcentral describes it as "SSU rRNA". It matches the Rfam family "Eukaryotic small subunit ribosomal RNA", at positions 619 to 929 of the family's 1831-position model. The record is from RNAcentral.
UUAAAAAGCUCGUAGUUGGAUUUCGGAGUGGGCCAGUUGGUCCGCCGCAAGGUGUGUUACUGACUGGUUUGCUCUUCUUCGCAAAGACUGCGUGUGCUCUUUGUUGAGUGUGCGUAGGAUUUACGACGUUUACUUUGAAAAAAUUAGAGUGUUCAAAGCAGGCUAUUGCUUGAAUACAUGAGCAUGGAAUAAUGGAAUAGGACUUUAGUCCCAUUUUGUUGGUUUCUAGGACCGAAGUAAUGAUUAAGAGGGACAAUUGGGGGCAUCCGUAUUUCGUUGUCAGAGGUGAAAUUCUUGGAUUUAC